AGUGAACGCUGGCGGCAGGCCUAACACAUGCAAGUCGAACGGCAGCACAGGAGAGCUUGCUCUCUGGGUGGCGAGUGGCGGACGGGUGAGGAAUAUAUCGGAAUCUACCCUUUCGUGGGGGAUAACGUAGGGAAACUUACGCUAAUACCGCAUACGAACUGAGGUUGAAAGCGGCGGACCGCAAGGCGUCGCGCAGAUGGAUGAGCUGAUAUCCGAUUAGCUAGUUGGCGGGGUAAAGGCCCACCAAGGCGACGAUCGGUAGCUGGUCGGAGGGGAUGAUCAGCCACACUGGAACGGGGAUACGGUCCAUACUCCUACGGGAGUGAGCAGUGGAGAAUGUUGGACAAUGGGCGCAAGCCUGAUCCAGCCAUGCUGCGUGGGUGAAGAAGGCCUUCGGGUUGUAAAGCCCUUUAGGCUGGGAAGAAGAUUGGUGGUUUAAGAGACAAUCAAUUUGACUGUACCAGCAGAAUAAGCACCGGCAAACUCUGUGCCAGCAGCCGCCGUAA
This 506-nucleotide ribosomal RNA is filed under the name uncultured bacterium. Its description in RNAcentral is "partial 16S ribosomal RNA". It matches the Rfam family "Bacterial small subunit ribosomal RNA", at positions 29 to 523 of the family's 1533-position model. The record is from RNAcentral.